UACAGAGGAUCCAAGCGUUGUUCGGAUUCAUUGGGCGUAAAGGGUGUGUAGGCGGCUCUGUAAGUCGGGUGUGAAAUCCCGGGGCUUAACUCCGAAACUGCAUUCGAUACUGCCGUGCUUGAGGACUGGAGAGGAGACUGGAAUUUACGGUGUAGCGGUGAAAUGCGUAGAUAUCGUAAGGAAGACCAGUGGCGAAGGCGGGUCUCUGGACAGUUCCUGACGCUGAGGCACGAAGGCCAGGGGAGCAAACGGG
This 253-nucleotide ribosomal RNA is filed under the name uncultured bacterium. RNAcentral's name for it is "partial 16S ribosomal RNA". It matches the Rfam family "Bacterial small subunit ribosomal RNA", at positions 524 to 776 of the family's 1533-position model. The record is from RNAcentral.